UGAAUACGAGAUGCUACGGCGUCAAGCAGUCUAUGUCAUACUUCCAAGAAAAGCUUGCACUGUCAUAAACAAAUAAUGCCUGCACCAUAACCGACACAGGUGGGUAGGUAGAGUAUACUAAGGGGCGCGAGAUAACUCUCUCUAAGGAACUCGGCAAAAUGACUCCGUAACUUCGGGAGAAGGAGUGCCUUAUUUUAUAAGGUUGCAAUAACAAGAUCCAAGCAACUGUUUACCAAAAACACAGGUCUCCGCUAAGUCGUAAGACGAUGUAUGGGGGCUGACGCCUGCCCAGUGCCAGAAGGUUAAAGAAGUUGGUUAGCAUCCGCGAAGCUGAUAACUGAAGCCCUGGUGAACGGCGGCCGUAACGAUAACGGUCCUAAGGUAGCGAAAUUCCUUGUCGGGUAAGUUCCGACCCGCACGAAAGGCGUAAUGAUUUGGAUACUGUCUCAGAGAGGGGCUCGGUGAAAUAGACUUGUCUGUGAAGAUGCGGACUACCUGCACCAGGACAGAAAGACCCUAUGAAGCUUUACUGUAACUUGAAAUUGAAAUUGGACUUUACUUGCGCAGUAUAGGUGGGAGGCGUUGAGAAUAUUCUUGCGGGAAUGUUGGAGCCAUCAGUGAGAUACCACUCUUGUAAUGUUAGAUUUCUAACUUUGUAUCAUUAUCUGGUCAAAGGACAGUUUCAGGCGGGCAGUUUGACUGGGGCGGUCGCCUCCCAAACGGUAACGGAGGCGCACAAAGGUUUCCUCUGAACGGGUAGAAAUCGUAUCUAGAGUGUAAAGGCAUAAGGAAGCUUGACUGUGAGACCUACAAGUCGAGCAGGGACGAAAGUCGGUCUUAGUGAUCUGACGGUGCUGAGUGGAAAGGCCGUCACUCAACGGAUAAAAGUUACUCUAGGAUAACAGGCUGAUCUCCCCCAAGAGUUCACAUCGACGGGGAGGUUUGGCACCUCGAUGUCGGCUCAUCGCAUCCUGGGGCGGUAGUACGUCCCAAGGGUUGGGCUGUUCGCCCAUGUAAGCGGUAGGCGAGCUGGGUUCAGAACGUCGUGAGACAGUUCGGUCCAUAUCCGGUGUAGGCGUUAGAAUAUUGAGAGGAGCCUUCUUUAGUACGAGAGGACCGAGAAGGACAUACCUCUGGUGUACCAGUUAUCGUGCCAACGGUAAACGCUGGGUAGCUAUGUAUGGAGUGGAAACCGCUGAAAGCAUCUAAGUGGGAAGCCCACCUUAAGAUAAG
This 1233-nucleotide ribosomal RNA is filed under the name metagenome. Its description in RNAcentral is "bacterial LSU rRNA". It matches the Rfam family "Bacterial large subunit ribosomal RNA", at positions 1564 to 2808 of the family's 2925-position model. The record is from RNAcentral.